RNAcentral lists this ribosomal RNA (1353 nucleotides) under metagenome. RNAcentral's name for it is "bacterial LSU rRNA". It matches the Rfam family "Bacterial large subunit ribosomal RNA", at positions 1564 to 2925 of the family's 2925-position model. The record is from RNAcentral.
CGAGUCCGAGUCUCCACGGAGACGAAGUGGCGGUCAUCCAGCUUCCUAGAAAAGCUCUAACCACGUUAAUCUUUAGUUGCCUGUACCCGAAACCGACACAGGUAGGGGGGUAGAGAAUACCAAGGGGCGCGAGAUAACUCUCUCUAAGGAACUCGGCAAAAUGACCCCGUAACUUCGGGAGAAGGGGUACCACUGAGAAGUGGUCGCAGUGAAGAGGCCCAGGCGACUGUUUACCAAAAACACAGGUCUCCGCCAAGUCGCAAGACGAAGUAUGGGGGCUGACGCCUGCCCAGUGCCGGAAGGUUAAGGAAGUGGGUUAGGGAUUCGUCCCGAAGCUGACGACUGAAGCCCCGGUGAACGGCGGCCGUAACUAUAACGGUCCUAAGGUAGCGAAAUUCCUUGUCGGGUAAGUUCCGACCCGCACGAAAGGCGUAACGAUCUGGGCGCUGUCUCGGAGAGAGGCUCGGCGAAAUAGGAUUGUCUGUGAAGAUACGGACUACCUGCACCUGGACAGAAAGACCCUAUGAAGCUUUACUGUAGCUUGGAAUUGGGUUCGGGCUUGGUUUGCGCAGGAUAGGUGGGAGGCGAAGAAGAUUUGCUUGUGGGUGAAUCUGAGCCAACGGUGAGAUACCACUCUAACCAGGCUAGAAUUCUAACUUCAACCCGUCAACCGGGGGAAGGACAGUUUCAGGUGGGCAGUUUGACUGGGGCGGUCGCCUCCUAAAAGAUAACGGAGGCGCACAAAGGUUCCCUCAGGCUGGUUGGAAAUCAGCCAACGAGUGCAAAGGCAGAAGGGAGCUUGACUGCGAGACCUACAAGUCAAGCAGGGUGGAAACACGGUCUUAGUGAUCCGACGGCACCGAGUGGAAGGGCCGUCGCUCAACGGAUAAAAGUUACUCUAGGAUAACAGGCUGAUCUCCCCCAAGAGUUCACAUCGACGGGGAGGUUUGGCACCUCGAUGUCGGCUCAUCGCAACCUGGGGCGGAAGUACGUCCCAAGGGUUGGGCUGUUCGCCCAUUAAAGCGGUACGUGAGCUGGGUUCAGAACGUCGUGAGACAGUUCGGUCCAUAUCCGGUGUAGGCGCAAGAACAUUGAGAGGAGUCUUCCUUAGUACGAGAGGACCGGGAAGAACGCACCGCUGGUGUACCUGUUAUCGUGCCAACGGUAAACGCAGGGUAGCCAAGUGCGGAGUGGAUAACCGCUGAAAGCAUCUAAGUGGGAAGCCCACCUCAAGAUGAGUGUUCUCAUGGAGUAAUCCAGUAAGGUCACGGGAAGACGACCCGUUGAUAGGCGGUAGGUGGAAGUUCAGCAAUGGAUGAAGCCGAGCCGUACUAACAGACCGAGGGCUUGACC